UGGGGAAUAUUGGACAAUGGGCGAAAGCCUGAUCCAGCCAUGCCGCGUGUGUGAAGAAGGUCUUCGGAUUGUAAAGCACUUUAAGUUGGGAGGAAGGGCAUUAACCUAAUACGUUAGUGUCCUGACGUUACCGACAGAAUAAGCACCGGCUAACUCUGUGCCAGCAGCCGCGGUAAUACAGAGGGUGCAAGCGUUAAUCGGAAUUACUGGGCGUAAAGCGCGCGUAGGUGGUUAGUUAAGUUGGAUGUGAAAUCCCCGGGCUCAACCUGGGAACUGCAUCCAAAACUGGCAAGCUAGAGUAUGGUAGAGGGUAGUGGAAUUUCCUGUGUAGCGGUGAAAUGCGUAGAUAUAGGAAGGAACACCAGUGGCGAAGGCGACUACCUGGACUGAUACUGACACUGAGGUGCGAAAGCGUGGGGAGCAAACA
RNAcentral lists this ribosomal RNA (427 nucleotides) under uncultured bacterium. RNAcentral's name for it is "bacterial SSU rRNA". It matches the Rfam family "Bacterial small subunit ribosomal RNA", at positions 355 to 774 of the family's 1533-position model. The record is from RNAcentral.